RNAcentral lists this ribosomal RNA (254 nucleotides) under uncultured bacterium. RNAcentral's name for it is "partial 16S ribosomal RNA". It matches the Rfam family "Bacterial small subunit ribosomal RNA", at positions 524 to 776 of the family's 1533-position model. The record is from RNAcentral.
UACGUAGGGUGCGAGCGUUGUCCGGAAUUAUUGGGCGUAAAGAGCUCGUAGGCGGUGUGUCGCGUCGGCCGUGAAAACCUGGGGCUUAACUCUGGGCGUGCGGUCGAUACGGGCAUCACUAGAGUUCGGCAGGGGAGACUGGAAUUCCUGGUGUAGCGGUGAAAUGCGCAGAUAUCAGGAGGAACACCGGUGGCGAAGGCAGGUCUCUGGGCUGACACUGACGCUCAUGCACGAAAGCGUGGGGAGCAAACAGG